GAUGAACGCUGGCGGCGUGCCUAAUACAUGCAAGUCGAGCGAACAGAUGAGGAGCUUGCUCCUCUGACGUUAGCGGCGGACGGGUGAGUAACACGUGGAUAACCUACCUAUAAGACUGGGAUAACUUCGGGAAACCGGAGCUAAUACCGGAUAAUAUAUUGAACCGCAUGGUUCAAUAGUGAAAGACGGUUUUGCUGUCACUUAUAGAUGGAUCCGCGCCGCAUUAGCUAGUUGGUAAGGUGACGGCUUACCAAGGGAACGAUGCGUAGCCGACCUGAGAGGGUGAUCGGCCACACUGGAACUGAGACACGGUCCAGACUCCUACGGGAGGCAGCAGUAGGGAAUCUUCCGCAAUGGGCGAAAGCCUGACGGAGCAACGCCGCGUGAGUGAUGAAGGUCUUCGGAUCGUAAAACUCUGUUAUUAGGGAAGAACAAAUGCGUAAGUAACUAUGCACGUCUUGACGGUACCUAAUCAGAAAGCCACGGCUAACUACGUG
RNAcentral lists this ribosomal RNA (497 nucleotides) under uncultured bacterium. RNAcentral's name for it is "partial 16S ribosomal RNA". It matches the Rfam family "Bacterial small subunit ribosomal RNA", at positions 28 to 507 of the family's 1533-position model. The record is from RNAcentral.